UACGUAGGGUGCAAGCGUCAUCCGGAAUUAUUGGGCGUAAAGAGCUCGUAGGCGGUUUGUCGCGUCUGCUGUGAAAACCCGAGGCUCAACCUCGGGCCUGCAGUGGGUACGGGCAGACUAGAGUGCGGUAGGGGAGAUUGGAAUUCCUGGUGUAGCGGUGGAAUGCGCAGAUAUCAGGAGGAACACCGAUGGCGAAGGCGGGUCUCUGGGCAGUAACUGACGCUGAGGAGCGAAAGCGUGGGGAGCGAACAGG
RNAcentral lists this ribosomal RNA (253 nucleotides) under uncultured bacterium. RNAcentral's name for it is "partial 16S ribosomal RNA". It matches the Rfam family "Bacterial small subunit ribosomal RNA", at positions 524 to 776 of the family's 1533-position model. The record is from RNAcentral.